UACGUAGGGGGCUAGCGUUAUCCGGAUUUACUGGUCGUAAAGGGUGCGUAGGCGGUCUUUCAAGUCAGGAGUGAAAGGCUACGGCUCAACCGUAGUAAGCCUUUGAAACUGGGAAACUUGAGUGCAGGAGAGGAGAGUGGAAUUCCUAGUGUAGCGGUGAAAUGCGUAGAUAUUAGGAGGAACACCAGUUGCGAAGGCGGCUCUCUGGACUGUAACUGACACUGAGGCACGAAAGCGUGGGGAGCAAACAGGAUUAGAUACCCUGGUAGUCUCUGA
Molecule: ribosomal RNA, 276 nt
Filed under: uncultured prokaryote
Description: partial 16S ribosomal RNA
Rfam family: Bacterial small subunit ribosomal RNA
Source: RNAcentral